GCAGUGGUGGGUCAGUGGUAUAAUUCUCGCUUUCCGUGUGAGAGACCCGGGUUCAAUUCCCAGCCAGUGCA
Molecule: transfer RNA, 71 nt
Filed under: Loxodonta africana (African savanna elephant)
Lineage: Eukaryota; Metazoa; Chordata; Mammalia; Proboscidea; Elephantidae
Rfam family: tRNA
About the family: Transfer RNA (tRNA) molecules are approximately 80 nucleotides in length. Their secondary structure includes four short double-helical elements and three loops (D, anti-codon, and T loops).
Source: Rfam by way of RNAcentral